GCUUUCAACAUCCCCGUUCGCCGCGCCAGCACCUUCGACCGGCUGAACUGAAGGC
The submitters of this non-coding RNA (55 nucleotides) gave its source as unclassified sequences. The record is from Rfam.